This 497-nucleotide ribosomal RNA is filed under the name uncultured bacterium. RNAcentral describes it as "partial 16S ribosomal RNA". It matches the Rfam family "Bacterial small subunit ribosomal RNA", at positions 28 to 507 of the family's 1533-position model. The record is from RNAcentral.
GAUGAACGCUGGCGGCGUGCCUAAUACAUGCAAGUCGAGCGAACGGACGAGAAGCUUGCUUCUCUGAUGUUAGCGGCGGACGGGUGAGUAACACGUGGAUAACUUACCUAUAAGACUGGGAUAACUUCGGGAAACCGGAGCUAAUACCGGAUAAUAUUUUGAACCGCGUGGUUCAAAAGUGAAAGACGGUCUUGCUGUCACUUAUAGAUGGAUCCGCGCUGCAUUAGCUAGUUGGUAAGGUAACGGCUUACCAAGGCAACGAUGCAUAGCCGACCUGAGAGGGUGAUCGGCCACACUGGAACUGAGACACGGUCCAGACUCCUACGGGAGGCAGCAGUAGGGAAUCUUCCGCAAUGGGCGAAAGCCUGACGGAGCAACGCCGCGUGAGUGAUGAAGGUCUUCGGAUCGUAAAACUCUGUUAUUAGGGAAGAACAUAUGUGUAAGUAACUGUGCACAUCUCGACGGUACCUAAUCAGAAAGCCACGGCUAACUACGUG